RNAcentral lists this transfer RNA (65 nucleotides) under Thorius n. sp. RLM-2004. RNAcentral describes it as "tRNA-Val". The record is from RNAcentral. Lineage: Eukaryota; Metazoa; Chordata; Amphibia; Caudata; Plethodontidae.
CAGGGUAUAGCUUAAAUAAAGCAUUUUGCUUACACCAAAAAAAUAUCUAUCACAGAUUAUCCUGA